Molecule: long non-coding RNA, 500 nt
Organism: Gavialis gangeticus (Gharial)
Lineage: Eukaryota; Metazoa; Chordata; Crocodylia; Gavialidae
Exons: 3
Source: RefSeq, a predicted model, not a curated record
UCCAGGGCUUUCUGCCCUUCUGUUUUUGUGGCUCUCUCUUUUUUUUCUUCUGUCUCUCAGUUGCUGCUGAUUUUGUGCUUUUUCAUGGUCCCUGCACUGUUUUGCAGGGACUGGGAUUGUUCAUGGGAAAACUACUAAAUUUGCAGUUUUUGCAGAAACUGCAAAAUCUUAAAUUGAGUAGGUCCCUACCAAGAAGCCAUUUUCAGACACCAGUGUGCAUGGGAGUUGGAGAAAGGAUGAGCCCCAUAGCAAUACUUCUAUGCACAGAUCAACUACUAUGUACUUCAAGAAAAGCAAAAUAGUUUUUCAGAAUUUGAUGGCAUUAUAUCAUGACAAGUAUAAAGAAAAGAAUGAUUACAGCAAGAUCAGCUAUAGAGAGCCUGUAUUGUGUUGAUCAUUUCCAGUUCAUGGACAUCAGGCAAGUUUUGGCCACAUGUAGCUGCAGCAAGCCAAGAAGAACCAGACCAUGAGGAAAAAAUGCCAGAAGCAGUUUGCUGUCU